GCUCAAAUGGCCAAGUGGUAAGGCGUCGCACUCGUAGCUCGUUUCAGACGACGAUAUGCGAAGAUCGCCAGUUCAAUCCUGGCUUUGAGCU
Molecule: non-coding RNA, 91 nt
Organism: Alternaria hordeiaustralica
Lineage: Eukaryota; Fungi; Ascomycota; Dothideomycetes; Pleosporales; Pleosporaceae
Source: the annotation of a RefSeq genome assembly